GACGAACGCUGGCGGCGUGCCUAACACAUGCAAGUCGAGCGGGGAUGUAAGUGGAAGUUCUUCGGAAUGGAGAGCUAACUUCUAGCGGCGGACGGGUGAGUAACGCGUGGACAUUCUGUCCCGGACAGGGGGAUAACACUUGGAAACAGGUGCUAAUACCGCAUAAGACCACGGCCUCGCAUGGGGCUGAGGUAAAAGGAGCAAUCCGGUGCGGGGUGAGUUCGGGUCCGAUUAGCUAGUUGCUGAGGUAACGGCCCACCAAGGCGACGAGCGGUAGCCGGCCUGAGAGGGUGAACGGCCACAUUGGAACUGAGAGACGGCACACACCUACACGGGAGGGAGGAGUGGGGAAUAGCGGGAAAUGGGCGAGCGCCUGACCCAGAAACGCCGCGUGGGGGAAGAAGGUUUUCGGAUUGUAACCCUCUGGCCUAUGAGACGGAGUAAGUGACGGUAACAUAGGAAGAAGCCCCGGCUAACUACGUG
This 483-nucleotide ribosomal RNA is filed under the name uncultured bacterium. RNAcentral describes it as "partial 16S ribosomal RNA". It matches the Rfam family "Bacterial small subunit ribosomal RNA", at positions 28 to 507 of the family's 1533-position model. The record is from RNAcentral.